UGAUCGGCAGGCUGCCUUCCGUGUCGCGAUAGCGAAUGAGCGCGUUGAUGUCCGCCAGCGCCAUGUCGCUGUUGCCGGAUGCGACGCGUGCAAUGGCAUCCUGUGAUCCGGUCGCGGCAUCGGUAGUCACGUUAAGACCUUCCGCACGAAACAAGCCCUUGCUGGAUGCGAGGAUAAAUGGUGCCGCCGAGCCAUCGAUCGGCCGGUCGAACGAAAAGUGCAGGGCCGACGCAGCCACGCCGGGCAUCGCGCCGAGGAAGGGCGCGCACAGNNAGGAGCGCGAUCAGCAGCGGGACGAUUUUAUAGAGGAUGCGGUCCGGAUUUUUGGGCAUGCGCGGCACUUGGUCUUGGGAAGCGUGGGGCGGCUUUUGAGC
RNAcentral lists this unclassified non-coding RNA (374 nucleotides) under Hevea brasiliensis (rubber tree). The record is from RNAcentral. Lineage: Eukaryota; Viridiplantae; Streptophyta; Magnoliopsida; Malpighiales; Euphorbiaceae.